UUUUAAACGGCCGCGGUACUCUGACCGUGCAAAGGUAGCAUAAAUUUGCCUUAUAAUUGAAGGCUGGAAUGAAUGGUUUGACAUGAAUAUUACUGUCUCCCUUAGGUUAUUUAGAAUUUUAUUUCUGGAUGAAAAAGUCUAGAUAUUAUUAAAAGACAAGAAGACCCUAUCGAGCUUUAGAAAAAUUAAUAGGCUUAGUGUAAAUCAAUAUAAGUAAAAGAAAGGCUAUUAAAUACAUUGGUUGGGGCAACCGAGGAGUAAUUAAAGCCUCCUUUGUAUUUGUGAAUCUCGCUUGAGUUGAUCCAAAGAUUUUGAUCAAAGGAAUUAGUUACCGUAGGGAUAACAGCAUAAUCUUUUUCAAGAGCUCAUAUCGAAAAAAAGGUUUGUGACCUCGAUGUUGGACCAGAAUGUCCUAAAGAUGCAGAAGUCUUUAAGGGUUGGU
Molecule: ribosomal RNA, 442 nt
Filed under: Conus leopardus
Lineage: Eukaryota; Metazoa; Mollusca; Gastropoda; Neogastropoda; Conidae
Description: partial 16S ribosomal RNA
Rfam family: Bacterial large subunit ribosomal RNA
Source: RNAcentral